ACGAAGGGGGCUAGCGUUGCUCGGAAUGACUGGGCGUAAAGGGCGCGUAGGCGGCUUGCAUAGUUAGGCGUGAAAUUCCUGGGCUCAACCUGGGGACUGCGUCUAAUACAUGCAGGCUUGAGUGUGAAAGAGGGUCGUGGAAUUUCCAGUGUAGAGGUGAAAUUCGUAGAUAUUGGAAAGAACACCGGUGGCGAAGGCGGCGACCUGGUUCAUUACUGACGCUGAGGCGCGAAAGCGUGGGGAGCAAACAG
Molecule: ribosomal RNA, 251 nt
Filed under: uncultured prokaryote
Description: partial 16S rRNA
Rfam family: Bacterial small subunit ribosomal RNA
Source: RNAcentral